Molecule: ribosomal RNA, 1234 nt
Filed under: metagenome
Description: bacterial LSU rRNA
Rfam family: Bacterial large subunit ribosomal RNA
Source: RNAcentral
UGAGUACGAGAUGCUACGGCAUCGAAGCAGUCUAUGUCAUACUUCCAAGAAAAGCUUGCAAUGUCAUAAACAAAUAAUGCCUGUACCAUAACCGACACAGGUGGGUAGGUAGAGUAUACUAAGGGGCGCGAGAUAACUCUCUCUAAGGAACUCGGCAAAAUGACUCCGUAACUUCGGGAGAAGGAGUGCCUUAUUUUUAUAAGGUUGCAAUAACAAGAUCCAAGCAACUGUUUACCAAAAACACAGGUCUCCGCUAAGUCGUAAGACGAUGUAUGGUGGCUGACGCCUGCCCAGUGCCAGAAGGUUAAAGAAGUUGGUUAGCAUUAGCGAAGCUGAUAACUGAAGCCCUGGUGAACGGCGGCCGUAACUAUAACGGUCCUAAGGUAGCGAAAUUCCUUGUCGGGUAAGUUCCGACCCGCACGAAAGGCGUAAUGAUUUGGAUACUGUCUCGGAGAGGGGCUCGGUGAAAUAGACUUGUCUGUGAAGAUGCGGACUACCUGCACCUGGACAGAAAGACCCUAUGAAGCUUUACUGUAACUUGAGAUUGAAAAUGGACUUUAUCUGCGCAGUAUAGGUGGGAGACGUUGAAAAUAUUCUUGCGGGAAUAUUGGAGUCAUCAGUGAUACCACUCUUAUAAUGCUAGAUUUCUAACUUUGUAUCAUCAUCUGGUCAAAGAACAGUUUCAGGCGGGCAGUUUGACUGGGGCGGUCGCCUCCCAAACGGUAACGGAGGCGCACAAAGGUUUCCUCUGAACGUGUAGAAAUCGUAUCUAGAGUGUAAAGGCAUAAGGAAGCUUGACUGUGAGACCUACAAGUCGAGCAGGGACGAAAGUCGGUCUUAGUGAUCUGACGGUGCUGAGUGGAAAGGCCGUCACUCAACGGAUAAAAGUUACUCUAGGAUAACAGGCUGAUCUCCCCCAAGAGUUCACAUCGACGGGGAGGUUUGGCACCUCGAUGUCGGCUCAUCGCAUCCUGGGGCGGUAGUACGUCCCAAGGGUUGGGCUGUUCGCCCAUGAAAGCGGUACGCGAGCUGGGUUCAGAACGUCGUGAGACAGUUCGGUCCAUAUCCGGUGUAGGCGUUAGAAUAUUGAGAGGAGCCUUCUUUAGUACGAGAGGACCGAGAAGGACAUACCUCUGGUGUACCAGUUAUCGUGCCAACGGUAAACGCUGGGUAGCCAUGUAUGGAGAGGAUAACCGCUGAAAGCAUCUAAGUGGGAAGCCCACCUCAAGAUAAG